RNAcentral lists this ribosomal RNA (253 nucleotides) under uncultured bacterium. RNAcentral describes it as "partial 16S ribosomal RNA". It matches the Rfam family "Bacterial small subunit ribosomal RNA", at positions 524 to 776 of the family's 1533-position model. The record is from RNAcentral.
GACGAACCGUGCGAACGUUGUUCGGAAUCACUGGGCUUAAAGGGCGCGUAGGCGGGCUGCCGCGUCCGGGGUGAAAUCCCACGGCUCAACCGUGGAACUGCCUCGGAUACGGGCGGUCUUGAGGGGGGUAGGGGCACGCGGAACUGUGGGUGGAGCGGUGAAAUGCGUUGAUAUCCACAGGAACUCCGGUGGCGAAGGCGGCAUACUGGACCACCUCUGACGCUGAGGCGCGAAAGCCAGGGGAGCAAACGGG